UUUCUUUGUAUCAAAUGCUGUCCUAUUUAGUGGGUUUCUUCCUCCAAAGUCAUUCCAGUAACCCAAAAUAUAAAUCCACUCAGAAGCGUCUGAAGAGACAUUUAGUCGUACAAAUUACGAACAAAAGAGCAAACAAGCAUUAAAGUUAACUAUUUCAAGACAUCGGCCCAUAAACUCACAAACCUUUUCCCAUUGGAGGCAUUUACAAGCAAGAAUGUGCCUUAACAAAUCAGGAAAUACCCAUUAAUAUAAAUCAUAAAAAGAAGAAAGAAAAUAAAGAAAGAAGAGAUCUCGACAGCGUUUUGCAUGGAAACUAAAGAAAUAAAACUUGCAGAAAAUGGAAAAAAAAAACAAAGUACGGAAUGGAACCUGCAGGUGAUUUCAGUGGAUUG
RNAcentral lists this unclassified non-coding RNA (392 nucleotides) under Hevea brasiliensis (rubber tree). Lineage: Eukaryota; Viridiplantae; Streptophyta; Magnoliopsida; Malpighiales; Euphorbiaceae. The record is from RNAcentral.